This 1432-nucleotide unclassified non-coding RNA is filed under the name Acyrthosiphon pisum (pea aphid). RNAcentral's name for it is "probable calcium-binding mitochondrial carrier F17E5.2, transcript variant X1". Lineage: Eukaryota; Metazoa; Arthropoda; Insecta; Hemiptera; Aphididae. The record is from RNAcentral.
GAUAAACUGUAUUAUUAAGGAAUUAUGAAUUUGGCCAAAAAACAUUUUUACGAAGUCACUUUUGAUGAACUGUUGUCUGUUGGGAUAACAUAAAUUAUAAUUGAUGCUCACAAGUCACAAUUAUCUUGAAAAGUCAAAUUUGAAUAUUAUUAUAUUAUUAUUAUUAUUUUUAUUGUUAUUAUUAUUAUUACUAUUUGGAUUUCAACGUUUGGAUGAGUAAAAUAAGUUAAAAUAUUGUUCUAAUUUAUCAAGGGCGUAAAAAAAUACUAAAUACAACCUUGCAAUAUACUUACUGUUUUAUUAUACCUAUAAAAAACCAAUUUAUAUUCAAUAAUCCUGCUUUGAUUACCAAAAUCCAAUUAUUUUUGUGGGAUGGUUUUUUUUUAAUAUUAUCGGGAGAUAUAGCAAAAGCUUAUCAAACCAAUUGAAAUAAUAAUAAUAGCAAUAACAAUAUUCGUAAUAAUAAUAACAAAAAUACAUUUUCACCCAUAGACUAUAAAAACGCGUCUCAUUGUUGGCAAAUACACGAACACCAUGGACGUGGUGGCUAAGACUUACAAAAGUGGAGGUGUGUGGGCAUUCUUCAAAGGUUUCUGGCCCAGUACGCUAAGCAUUUUCUUGUUCGCCGGAAUUGAUCUUAUGACUUACGAGCACAUCAAAGAAAAUGAUUCCCAUUUCCACGAGAAGUACGACUACCCGAGGUGGUUCGUUAGCUUUUACUCAGCGGUUAUCUCGAACGCCGUGGGCGUAGUGAUAUGUUAUCCGAUAUCUACGAUCAUCACAAGACUCCAAGUCGACGACGGACGGUCGAACGGAACAGCGGUCCAGUCGGAAAACUGGGACCGGCGGCGGCCGUUCUCGGCCAGGAACUUCCGCAGCGGCCUACUCCUUUACAGAGGCAUCACCGGCAGUCUCGUGAAAAUUUUGCCCUGCUCGUCCAUUGGCUACGUGGUCUACGAAGAGCUGUGCAAGUCGUUGGGCGUGCGAAUGACGUGAAACUUAUUGACAUUUCUCGAUACGGGAUAAGAAUGACACCACACGCACUCAUUGCACGGCAUUCUCACGUCUCCGCCAACGUUUUUACACGCAUUCGUCGUAUACAUUAUUUCGAAUCCAUAUACGAUACAAUGAACAGUGUAUAAUGUCAUUAUACUCAUUAUAUUUUUUUUAUUGCAUCGCGAGCAUUUUUCACUGUAUUGUUUGUUUAACAUUUUGAAAAUGGUGCCGAUUGUACGUACUAUCUGUAAAUUCACUGCAAACACACAAACUUUAAAUAAUGUUUUAAAGUAUAAGUGUGUAUUUUAUAUAGCCCUGUAAAAAAAAACUGUCAAUAUGUAAUUAAAACAUUAGAGAUUCUUGAAAUCGUAAAAUUGUAAGAUAAUAUGUUUAAAAAAUUAAAUAUAACUUUGUUUAUAGUUAUUCCUGCAAUCUA